RNAcentral lists this long non-coding RNA (676 nucleotides) under Actinidia chinensis (golden kiwifruit). RNAcentral describes it as "long non-coding RNA (ACHI_LNC005346)". Lineage: Eukaryota; Viridiplantae; Streptophyta; Magnoliopsida; Ericales; Actinidiaceae. The record is from RNAcentral.
UCAACCAAACAAAUCGCGGAAUUUAGAAGAAAUAGAUUGGAGACUGAGGUCUUUGUUGGACAUAUAGUUUUCUCAAGACAGAUUUGCGCCCUCCGUGCUCAAAGGAGAAACCUAGAAAUUGUGCUAACGAGUCAGGUCCAAAAAAUAUUGGACUUGGAUGAUAGAAUCUCGUGUACAAGGUGCAAUGUUAAGAACUUAAUGCAAAAAACAUUUCAUUUGAUCCAGAAAGUGCCUCGACCCUUCACUCUCUGAUGUUUUCGAGUAGCUCUUCCCUCGUCCGAUUACCAACACCUAAACAAGAAAUUCCAAUAAAAUUUGGUACAAAAAUUAUGAAAAAUCAAAAUUGAAAAGAAGUAAACGACGUUGUUAGUUAAUUACCAUGUUAUUGUGGUUAUGGAAUCAAUACGCAUACUUGCUGCAACAUGAUCACAUGAUUCUCCCCUAUGCAUCUUGCUAGGACUGCAUUCACCUAGAGAAAAAAAGAAAAGGAAAGAGAAAGGCUUGAGAAUUUGUUAAAAAGAAAAAAAAGGAAGCGUCCGCAGAGUGUUAAGUUGCUGUUUCUCCUAGAAGUAAAAGUCGCGUUUAAUAUGAGAAUAUUGUCACGGAGUGCCGGAUGGCGUGGAACCGGAUGCAAAGGGCAAGGCGCAGGAUUGCAUCAAUAAGGCUGCGGAGGUUU